AUAGUUGAUACUUGAUACAGCGGACAGCCUUUAUAUACCCUUCCUAAACGAAACCUUCCAAACUCAACACUCAACGGAGAUUAACAAAAAUAAAAGAGAAAUGGAGACGGAAGUGAUUUUCUUAUGCAGCUACGGUGGGCAGAUCAAGUUCCACGACGGAACCAACCAACACAUGUACGAAGGCGGCAAAAACAAGAAACUCCGCGUUCGCAGCAGCAUCAAUUUCAAUGACUUGAUCGCCGAGCUCGCCGACAACAGCGGCACUGCCGACGUGGCCUACUUCGAGUACCAGAUCUCAGGGUACGGCCUAGAAACCCUCGUCAGCGUCACCAACGACAGAGACCUCCGCAACCUGAUGCGGGAGUUCGAUCCGAACAUACCCGACGACGUCAAGCGUAUCUUCCUCUUCCCUGAGAAAAAUCCUUCACCCUCUCCUCCUCCUCCGCAGCGCUUGGAGCGCGUCGAUUCACCGCUGCAAGUCGCUGAGAACGCGUCCGAGCUGGAGGCAGUUGCAGGUCCGCGUGUGAACCACGUGGUUCACUACUUGAUGCUUGUAUCGGCCGGUUUACUCUUCACAGCGGUACUACUUUUUUUGGUACCCUUCGUAUUCACCCUUCAACCGCAGAAUCAUUCAGUUAUGGUCGUUAACGACGACCUCAAGAGCACUGGAACUAUCGCACCACUUGGAUCUGAUGAUCUUGAUGAUCAAUCUGUCUCCGACAAAGCUGCAGCAGUACCGGCUUUCGAUCCGUCGAAUGCUGCAGAUUUUUAUGUGUUUAUCAGUUUUAGAGGCAAGGACUCGCGCAUCAACUUCGUGUGUCAUCUUCACCAAGCUCUCAACCAACAACAAAUCAAAGUCUUCAUAGAUCACAAGCUCCCAAAAGGACACAGCAUAUGGCCUUCACUCUUAAAGGCUAUUGAAAGUUCACAUUUAUCUCUUGUCAUUUUCUCACAGGACUAUGCUUCCAGCAAGUGGUGUUUGCAAGAAUUGGUCAAAAUAUUAGAGACCAUGAAGCAACAAGGACAAGUUGUUCUCCCUGUUUUUUAUAAUAUAGAUCCAUCACAUGUGCGUUACCAGCUUGGAAGUUUUAAACAAGCAUUCGAAAAGCACGUGCAGAAAUUUGACCCAAUUGUGGUUCAAAAUUGGAAGACGGCUCUCACUGAAGCAGCAGAUUUGAUUGGUUGGGAUUCAAAGUCACCCUACAUUAGGUGACGGCUUAUUAUUUAUUAGUUAUCGGAACAUAAAAUAAAAUAAAUUGAUUAUUAUUCGAUUAAAAGGAUGAUGAUGAUCUUGUUCAGCAGAUAGUGGAAGAUGUUUUAGAGAAGAAGAAUCAAUAUUGCAAAUCCAAGGCUUGAGCUGAGAAUUCGCGAUUCUGAAGCUUUCGGUCGUCAUGGAUGACGUGGAUAUAUAAACACAAUUAGCAAAUAUAUGUGCUUUAUGUUUUAAAAGGAUCUCGCUAGGUGACAACGGACUAUUUGUCCGAGUACAAAGGAUGAUAAACAUCUUUUUAAAAAAUUAAUUUAAUUUUUGAGUUUACCAAGGAUCGAACUCUUGACCUUUCAGAUCUAGCGCUUUAAUACCGUGUCAUGAUACCACUCAUCCCAAAAGCUUCAACUGAUGAGAAAAUGUAACACUAAUAAUUAUAUCUCUAAUACUUCAUAAACCUCCAUUGUGCACAUUGUAUAAAUAUUUCAUUGGCUCCUCA
Molecule: RNA transcript, 1706 nt
Organism: Arachis stenosperma
Lineage: Eukaryota; Viridiplantae; Streptophyta; Magnoliopsida; Fabales; Fabaceae
Exons: 3
Source: RefSeq, a predicted model, not a curated record